This is a non-coding RNA of Hordeum vulgare subsp. vulgare (domesticated barley), 125 nucleotides long. The record is from Rfam. NCBI's taxonomy places the organism in Eukaryota, Viridiplantae, Streptophyta, Magnoliopsida, Poales, Poaceae.
CACAUACUCCCUUCGUCCGAAAAUACUUGUUAUAGAAAUGGAUGUAUCUAGAUGUAUUUUAAUUCUAGAUACAUUCAUUUUUUUACAUUUAUGCGACAAGUAAUUUCGGACGAAGGGAGUACUCC